Molecule: ribosomal RNA, 405 nt
Filed under: uncultured bacterium
Lineage: Bacteria
Description: partial 16S ribosomal RNA
Rfam family: Bacterial small subunit ribosomal RNA
Source: RNAcentral
AUCGAACGCUGGCGGCAGGCCUAACACAUGCAAGUCGAGCGAGCGGCGGACGGGUGAGUAAUGCUGGGGAAUCUAGCUGAUGGAGGGGGAUAACUACGGGAAACUGGAGCUAAUAGCGAGUACCACAGGAGGAGCCCAAGUGGGAUUAGGUAGUUGGUGAGGUAAAGGCUCACCAAGCCGACGAUCUCUAGCUGGUCUGAGAGGAUGACCAGCCACACGGGGACUGAGACACGGCCCAGACUCCUCGGGGAGGAAGCAUUGGGGAAUAUUGCGCAUUGGGGGCAACCUGCCACAGCCAUGCCGCGGGAAUGAAGAAGGCCUUCGGGUUGUAAAGUCCUUUCGGUAGCGAGGCGUUACCCGCACAGGAAGCACCGGCUAACUCCGUGCCAGCAGCCGCGGUAAUAC